Molecule: ribosomal RNA, 138 nt
Filed under: Bacillus sp. bc15
Lineage: Bacteria; Bacillati; Bacillota; Bacilli; Caryophanales; Bacillaceae
Description: 16S rRNA. Bacterial SSU
Rfam family: Bacterial small subunit ribosomal RNA
Source: RNAcentral
CUUUAUUGGAGAGUUUGAUCCUGGCUCAGGAUGAACGCUGGCGGCGUGCCUAAUACAUGCAAGUCGAGCGAAUGGAUUGAGAGCUUGCUCUCAAGAAGUUAGCGGCGGACGGGUGAGUAACACGUGGGUAACCUGCCC